UAGGGAAUUUUGCGCAAUGGAGGAAACUCUGACGCAGCAACGCCAUGUGUGGGAUGAAGCAUUUCGGUGUGUAAACCACUGUCAGCGGGGAAUAAAUAGCUUCUUCGGAGGCGAUUGAAUGUACCCGCAAAGGAAGCCCCGGCUAACUUCGUGCCAGCAGCCGCGGUAAUACGAGGGGGGCAAAUGUUGUUCGGAAUCACUGGGCGUAAAGGGAGCGUAGGCGGGCUUUUAAGUUAGGUGUUUAAUCCCGGGGCCCAACCCCGGUCGUGCACUUAAAACUGGAAGUCUUGAAUAGUGGAGAGGUCAGUGGAAUUGGGGGUGUAGCGGUGGAAUGCGUAGAGAUCCCCAAGAACACCAGUUGCGAAGGCGGCUGACUGGACACAUAUUGACGCUGAGGCUCGAAAGCAUGGGGAGCAAACAG
RNAcentral lists this ribosomal RNA (421 nucleotides) under uncultured bacterium. Its description in RNAcentral is "bacterial SSU rRNA". It matches the Rfam family "Bacterial small subunit ribosomal RNA", at positions 355 to 775 of the family's 1533-position model. The record is from RNAcentral.